UAGAUCCUCCUUCGAAUCAUAAUAAUCGAUAUAUGUAUCAUCUUCUAUCUCAUCAUCAUUUAUCAACUGAUCGUCGCCCUCUGACUCAUCAAGAUUAAAUACAAAAUCAGCUUCAACUUCAUUGGACGGCAGAUCAGCCCUAUUCAAAGGUAUCAUUACAAGUUCUUCAUCCACAAAAAGCUCGGAUAAUAUUUAUUCUUCUUGCUGAAAAGCUACUUUUUCAUGUA
Molecule: long non-coding RNA, 227 nt
Filed under: Elaeis guineensis (African oil palm)
Lineage: Eukaryota; Viridiplantae; Streptophyta; Magnoliopsida; Arecales; Arecaceae
Description: long non-coding RNA (EGUI_LNC028623)
Source: RNAcentral